UGGUUUGGGUGGCGGCAAGGCCGCAGGAUCAUUGGGAUGCCGGUGUAACUGCUGUUUUAUGGGGAGGAGCGCCUAUAGUCAUUGCCCCGAGGAUUAAGCACAUCGUCGAACCUCAUUAACAUCGUGCCUCGGUGUCGUUCUUAUUUGCAUAUUUUCUUCUACGUUGAUUUUGCUUCCGCGUUCAUCGGUUAAUAGAUCUGUUUAGGUCUAGAACUAACCGUGCACUCUAACAUCUACUUUCUUGAACAUGUUCUGUACCAAAGUUUGGCUUCAAUUCUUAUUAAAAGAUGGGUUUUCUUCGACAGGUAAUAAAAAAUUAUAAUUGUUUUCACCGAACUUAUUCCUAAGCCCGCUUACAUUUUUAUUGCUUAGAGGUACAUCGAGCAGCCACGGAAUUAUCUUUCCA
RNAcentral lists this long non-coding RNA (406 nucleotides) under Sorghum bicolor (sorghum). Its description in RNAcentral is "long non-coding RNA (SBIC_LNC015435)". The record is from RNAcentral. Lineage: Eukaryota; Viridiplantae; Streptophyta; Magnoliopsida; Poales; Poaceae.